RNAcentral lists this ribosomal RNA (492 nucleotides) under uncultured bacterium. RNAcentral's name for it is "partial 16S ribosomal RNA". It matches the Rfam family "Bacterial small subunit ribosomal RNA", at positions 29 to 507 of the family's 1533-position model. The record is from RNAcentral.
AGUGAACGCUGGCGGCAGGCCUAAUACAUGCAAGUCGAACGGCCGCACAGUAAGAGUUUGCUCUUACGGGUGGCGAGUGGCGGGCGGGUGAGGAAUACAUCGGACUCUACUUUUUCGUGGGGGUUACCGUAGGGAAACUUACGUUAUUACCGCAUAUGUCUUACGGGUGAUAGCAGAGUAUCUUCAGACCUUGCUCCUUUCACUUAUCGGGUGUCGUACUAGCUAGUUGGUGGGGUAACGGCUCACCAAGGCGACGAUCCAUAGCCGACCUGAGAGGGUGAUCGGCCACACUGGGACUGAGACACGGCCCAGACUCCUAAGGGAGGCAGCAGUAGGGAAUCUGCCGCAAUGGACGAAAGUCUGACGGAGCAAUGCCGCGUGAGUGAAGAAGGUGUUCGGAUCGUAAAACUCUGUUGUAAGGGAAGAACAAGUACGUUAGUAACUGAACGUACCUUGACGGUACCUUACCAGAAAGCCACGGCUAACUACGUG